GCCGGUAGUCAAGCUUCUGGUUCUGGCAAACGAUCGUUUGCCCGAUUAAAUGGGAAGCCGGUGCGCCCCCGAAAGGGGACAAAGCCGGCGCUGCCCCCGCAACGGUAAGCGAGUCAAGGAUGUGCAUCACGCCACUGUGCUUAGCAUGGGAAGGCGCAUAUCCGGGAAGAGGGCAGUUGCCCCGCCACUCGCCAGCCCGGAAACCAGCCGAAGCGGCAAGUCGUUU
This 226-nucleotide non-coding RNA is filed under the name Janthinobacterium sp. Lineage: Bacteria; Pseudomonadati; Pseudomonadota; Betaproteobacteria; Burkholderiales; Oxalobacteraceae. The record is from RNAcentral.